RNAcentral lists this unclassified non-coding RNA (429 nucleotides) under Melitaea cinxia (Glanville fritillary). RNAcentral describes it as "misc RNA ENSMCXG00005008034.1". Lineage: Eukaryota; Metazoa; Arthropoda; Insecta; Lepidoptera; Nymphalidae. The record is from RNAcentral.
UAAUUACUGCCGUGGCGCGUGCGAACCCUACCUCAAUUAUCACUCGCAGGUGGUGGAAGCGGCGCGGCUGGAGCGCGCCGCGUGCUGCGCGCCCGUGCGCUUCUCCGCGCUCUCGCUCAUCUACUUCGGUGCUGACUCGAACAUCAUCAAACGCGACCUGCCCGAGAUGGUGGUCGAGGAGUGCGACUGCCCGUAGCGGCUCUGUACAUAGCCUCCGCCGCGUCGCCCCGCCUCUCCCCCGCCGCUCACGCGGUACGCUUUCGCCGCUCGAAUCCGAUUUAAUCCGAAUCGAUUAUAAAUAAUAUUCUCGACUUGUGUAAUAUUUUGUUCCUCGCGUUCGAAAGACUAUAUCCUAAAAUCGAAUAACGAGACCGCCCGCGUUCGAUCCGCGUCGCGGGUGCGGUGCCGCUAAGACAUUUUGCGUUCCGG